Cydia fagiglandana is the source of this 375-nucleotide long non-coding RNA. RefSeq lists it as uncharacterized. NCBI's taxonomy places the organism in Eukaryota, Metazoa, Arthropoda, Insecta, Lepidoptera, Tortricidae. The record is from RefSeq and is a predicted model, not a curated record. The transcript has 2 exons.
CGAAACUAUAAGAACUAUACUGUUAAAACUUGGUAAGUAGAUGUAUUCUGUGAACCGCAUUAAGAUUUUCACACAAAAAUAGAAAAAAAACAAUACAUUUUGGGGGGUCCCCAUACUUAGAACUGAAACUCAAAAUUAUUAUUUUUUUCAUCAAACCCAUACGUGUGGGGUAUCCAUGGAUAAGUCUUCAAAAAUGAUAUUGAGGUUUCUAAAUAAUAUCAUUUUUUUCUAAACUGAAUAGUUUGUGCGAGAGACACUUCCAAAGUGAGAAUGAUAAAACUAAAAAAAAAUAUAUGAUGUACAUUGCUAUGCAAACUUCCACCGAAAAUUGGUUUGAACGAGAUCUAGUAAGUAGUUUUUUUAAUACGUCAUAAA